RNAcentral lists this ribosomal RNA (253 nucleotides) under uncultured bacterium. RNAcentral's name for it is "partial 16S ribosomal RNA". It matches the Rfam family "Bacterial small subunit ribosomal RNA", at positions 524 to 776 of the family's 1533-position model. The record is from RNAcentral.
UACGGAGGGUGCGAGCGCUGUCCGGAAUCACUGGGCGUAAAGGGCGCGUAGGCGGCUUCUUAAGCGUGUGGUGAAAGCUCGGGGCUCAACCUCGAGUCGGCCAUGCGAACUGGGAGGCUUGAGCACUGUAGAGGCAGGUGGAAUUCCGGGUGUAGCGGUGGAAUGCGUAGAGAUCCGGAAGAACACCGGUGGCGAAGGCGGCCCGCUGGGCAGUAGCUGACGCUGAGGCGCGACAGCGUGGGGAGCAAACAGG